AGCCUGGGUCCUACUACUGGGUUUUCUCUGCCCCUCUCUGAACUUGUUUUCCUUUCUGCAAAGAAUGUAGGCUUUUAAUUUUUGUUUUUUUGGUGGGAGGGUGGGGGGGGUGGGGCUGGGGGAGGUGUCAGGGACCCUUUCUAGACUCCUUCCAGAAAUAUAUGUGUGUUUGAACUUUGCAAACAGUAUCGGGCCUCCUGAAGCUCCCAAAAACUCAGUCCUGGCUUCCAGAUAAGAACUCCUGAACUAGAGGUGGCUGAGAAGCCUUCUGCCUCUGAUAUCUAAGAGUGCCCCAGAGCAAGGGAAAGGCUCCUGUAAGGGCCAUGGGGGCAGAGUUGGGAGGCUCUUAAGCCCGGGAGCAGUGAGGCCUUCUGAGGUGUGGUUUCUUCCUGAACACACCAUCAGGGGUGUGUAAGCAGAAGCUGGAGGCCCCUGGGUGAAAUAAGGAAGGGUUUAUCCAAACGGCAGCUGACCUUCCUAUCCUGGGCCCCCUCUUGCUGCCUCUGCCUGUCCUUGCCUUUCUGUCCCUGAUCCUGGGGGAGGAGGGUCUCAGGGGAUCCUCCAGCACUGGUGACCAACCCCCUCCCACUGAAGCAGCUGAAGACACCACAGACUAGACCCCGCCAGAGGGGCUGGCGCUGCCCCACCCCGCUCUGCCAGCUGACGCCUCCUGCUAAAAACAGCGGGGCCCGGGGGGACUAUGGGCUUUCAGGCCUCCCCCUCCACGUCCCAGCAGGUAUUAAAGAGGCCGAAGCCGGGCCAGGAGGACUGGACACUAUGCUAUUCACCGAGACUGCCCACUUCGCGGUGAAUUUUCUUCUGUCCCGGCGCCCCCGGGUCACGCCCCCGCACCGCCUUGACCAGGAGUUGUGUUUCCGGGGCUGCCGGGGCCCGGCCAUGCCGGCGCCCGCCGCCCACCGCAGCCUGGGCGACUACUGGCUGAGCCCGCAGCGCCGCAGCCCGCCGGGCGCCGCCUGGCGCUGGCCCGCGCGCAACCUACUGCUGCUGCCGGGUACCACCGGGCAGGCGGACUUACCCUCUGCGCGUUGGCCCAGCUGCUACGGCGCGCGCCCGCGCCUCAUGUGAGCGCGCGGGGGCGGGGCGGAAGCCCUGGGAGGGAGGGGCGGUGCCUACGGCAGGGGAGGGGUCUGUGGGAAGGGGCGGAUCCCCAGACGCGAGGGUCGGACAGGGGUUGGACAGGCUGGGCUUGACUGUACCUAGGAGCGGGAGGAGUGGGAGGAACUAGGUGGGAAGGGCGGGGCCUGAAGCGGCUGACCAAGGAAGGGACUAGGCGAAGCGGGCGUAGACUCAGAGGGGGCGGGGAGCCUUGCCGCCGUCCUGUAGGCCCAGUUUUCCCUCCUUCCAGGUGGAAGCACCGGUGGCAGAAUAUUAACUACCAAUAUCUGGGCAAGAGGAAGAGACAUCUAGUUCCCCUGCGCCCGUGAGAGCCGGUGAGGGGCGGGGCCAGAAGAGGGCGCGACCUCGGAGGGGCGGGUCUAGAGGCGGGGCCUGACGGAGGUUGGGGUGGGGAAAGGGUGAUACCCGGGCACGAGGUUAGUCCUCCCUGCCUUACAGGCUCGAGGACCCAGAGGGCUCGAGCCGCAGUGAGAGAGGCCCCGCGGGCCGGGCGUGGGUUUCUUCGGGGUUAUUCAGCCCUGCCCUUCUCAAACCACCACAAACAUUUUUUGGAAAAUUGACAUUCGACUAUAUUAAAAUUUCUGUUCAUCAAAAGACAACAAAAGGAGUAAAAUAGAGUUCCAAAGAGGGCUCUUCAAACAUAAUGCCAACUUGGUGCCCCACGCAGGGAGUGUGGGAACCAGAAUAGGUCAUGCCCUUGGGCACCAACUGGGUCGGUCCCAGGACAGGAGUCACCCCAGCCCCAGGCCUGAUGACCAAACUGAAUGACCUAAGGGAAGCGGCCUGCUUGAAGGACACUGUCCUGUGUGUGUCUGUGUGUGCUUGAUAUUUUGGGGCAUCUCUGAAUGUUUGCAUCACCUCUGAGCAUGUGAGCAUGGCUCUUUUUCUCUGUGUGUCUGUCUAUCCCUGGUCUCUGUGUCCAUUUAUUUCUUCAACAAAUAUUUAUCAAGGGCCUAUUUUAGACGGUUGUGCCAGGUUUAUACUCUGAGUCAUUGAGUUCACAUUGGUGAAAAGAACAGUUGAAGUCCCUGUCCUCAUGGCACUUACAUUCUGGUUGGGAAGACAACAAUAAAAAAGUCAGAGAUAUGGGGACUUCCCUGGUGGUCCAGUAGGUAAAACUCCGUGCUCCCAAUGCAGGGGGCCGAGGUUCGAUCCCUGGUCGGGGAACUAGAUCCCACAUGCAUACCGCAGCUAAGAAGUCUGCAUGCCGCAACUAAGAAUCACGCAUGCCGCAACUGGAAGAUCCUGCAUGCCACAAUGAAGAUCCUGCGUGCCACAACUAAGACCCGGCGAAGCCAAAAUAAAUAAA
Phocoena sinus (vaquita) is the source of this 2446-nucleotide long non-coding RNA. The record is from Ensembl. NCBI's taxonomy places the organism in Eukaryota, Metazoa, Chordata, Mammalia, Artiodactyla, Phocoenidae.